GGAUAAGAAGAUAAUACCUGUUACUUUCUCUGUAAGAACAUCUAAGCAAACAUCGCUUAACAGCAAUGAAGAAGUUAAUAGUUUUUCUAGCAAUCAUUUUUAUUGGCAGCUUUGCCAUGGCUUCGAUAAUAAGUCGCGAAGACGUUAUGCGACAUAAUAUAUUAGAAAAUUCGGAAAGUAAUUGUCAAGGAUUUUUUAAAAAGUGUACAUGGGACAACGAUUGUUGUGGUGUCUUGCUAUGCUCGCGCAUUCUUUCUCGUUGCGGAUGGUAUUAAACAAAAUCGGACACAUAGAAUCAAUAUGAAAUAUUAUAAAUUUGUGAAUAAAUAGAUAAUGAAACAAAUGUAA
Megalopta genalis is the source of this 348-nucleotide long non-coding RNA. RefSeq lists it as uncharacterized. The record is from RefSeq and is a predicted model, not a curated record. NCBI's taxonomy places the organism in Eukaryota, Metazoa, Arthropoda, Insecta, Hymenoptera, Halictidae.